RNAcentral lists this ribosomal RNA (492 nucleotides) under uncultured bacterium. Its description in RNAcentral is "partial 16S ribosomal RNA". It matches the Rfam family "Bacterial small subunit ribosomal RNA", at positions 29 to 507 of the family's 1533-position model. The record is from RNAcentral.
AGUGAACGCUGGCGGUAGGCCUAACACAUGCAAGUCGAACGGCAGCACAGUAAGAGCUUGCUCUUACGGGUGGCGAGUGGCGGACGGGUGAGGAAUACAUCGGAAUCUACUUUUUCGUGGGGGAUAACGUAGGGAAACUUACGCUAAUACCGCAUACGACCUACGGGUGAAAGCAGGGGAUCUUCGGACCUUGCGCGAUUGAAUGAGCCGAUGUCGGAUUAGCUAGUUGGCGGGGUAAAGGCCCACCAAGGCGACGAUCCGUAGCUGGUCUGAGAGGAUGAUAAGCCACACUGGAACUGAGACACGGUCCAGACUCCUACGGGAGGCAGCAGUGGGGAAUAUUGGACAAUGGGCGCAAGCCUGAUCCAGCCAUACCGCGUGGGUGAAGAAGGCCUUCGGGUUGUAAAGCCCUUUUGUUGGGAAAGAAAAGCAGCAGGUUAAUACCCCGCUGCUCUGACGGUACCCAAAGAAUAAGCACCGGCUAACUUCGUG